GAGCGAACAAAGCGGGAGGCAGUCUCGUACAAAGCCCCGCUGCGUGAGCGGCGGACGGGUGAGUAACACGUGGGCAACCUGUCCUAUGCACAGGGAUAACGCACCGAAAGGUGUGCUAAUACCGGAUAAAGCGAGAUGUCCGCAUGGACGACUCGCCAAAGCUUUUGCGGCAUAGGAUGGGCCCGCGUCCCAUUAGCUAGUUGGUGAGGUAAUGGCUCACCAAGGCUGCGAUGGGUAGCCGACCUGAGAGGGUGAUCGGCCACACUGGAACUGAGACACGGUCCAGACUCCUACGGGAGGCAGCAGUGGGGAAUAUUGCACAAUGGGCGAAAGCCUGAUGCAGCAACGCCGCGUGAGCGAUGAAGGCCUUCGGGUCGUAAAGCUCUGUCCCAAGGGAAGAUAAUGACGGUACCUUGGGAGGAAGCCCCGGCUAACUACGUGCC
This 443-nucleotide ribosomal RNA is filed under the name uncultured Eubacteriales bacterium. RNAcentral's name for it is "bacterial SSU rRNA". It matches the Rfam family "Bacterial small subunit ribosomal RNA", at positions 64 to 509 of the family's 1533-position model. Lineage: Bacteria; Bacillati; Bacillota; Clostridia; Eubacteriales. The record is from RNAcentral.